UUGCCCGGGCUAGAAUGCAGUCUAAAUAUGGAAGCCCAUGGAGGAGAGGCACCAACAGGUCUAAAGGACUCCAGUGACACAUUUUGGCUUCUGCACAGUUUUUUUUCCAGCCUUGACCCUGCACUUGAUGGACCAGCUGGCACCACCCAAAUCAAUAAACUGGCUCAUUUGAACUUGCAGUCCCCACCCAGAAACUGACUCAGCGUAAGAAGACAGCUUCGGCUCCGUAUGAUUUCAUCUCUGACCAAUCAGCACCCCUGGCUCACUGGCUUCCCCACGACCCACCAAGUUAUCCUUAAAAACUCUGCUUCCUGAAUGCUCGAGGAGACUGAUAUUUGUAAUAAUAAAACUCUGGUCUCAGGC
Molecule: long non-coding RNA, 363 nt
Organism: Saimiri boliviensis boliviensis (Bolivian squirrel monkey)
Lineage: Eukaryota; Metazoa; Chordata; Mammalia; Primates; Cebidae
Source: RefSeq, a predicted model, not a curated record